This 254-nucleotide ribosomal RNA is filed under the name uncultured bacterium. RNAcentral describes it as "partial 16S ribosomal RNA". It matches the Rfam family "Bacterial small subunit ribosomal RNA", at positions 524 to 776 of the family's 1533-position model. The record is from RNAcentral.
UACGAAGGGUGCAAGCGUUACUCGGAAUUACUGGGCGUAAAGCGUGCGUAGGUGGUUCGUUAAGUCUGUCGUGAAAGCCCCGGGCUCAACCUGGGAAUGGCGAUGGAUACUGGCGGGCUAGAGUGCGGUAGAGGAGAGUGGAAUUCCCGGUGUAGCAGUGAAAUGCGUAGAGAUCGGGAGGGACAUCAGUUGCGAAGGCGGCUCUCUGGACCAGCACUGACACUGAGGCACGAAAGCCAGGGGGAGCAAACAGG